Molecule: ribosomal RNA, 501 nt
Filed under: uncultured bacterium
Lineage: Bacteria
Description: partial 16S ribosomal RNA
Rfam family: Bacterial small subunit ribosomal RNA
Source: RNAcentral
AUUGAACGCUGGCGGCAGGCUUAACACAUGCAAGUCGAGCGGAGAUGAGGUGCUUGCACCUUAUCUUAGCGGCGGACGGGUGAGUAAUGCUUAGGAAUCUGCCUAUUAGUGGGGGACAACAUUCCGAAAGGAAUGCUAAUACCGCAUACGUCCUACGGGAGAAAGCAGGGGAUCUUCGGACCUUGCGCUAAAAGAUGAGCCUAAGUCGGCUUAGCUAGUUGGUGGGGUAAAGGCCUACCAAGGCGACGAUCUGUAGCGGGUCUGAGAGGAUGAUCCGCCACACUGGGACUGAGACACGGCCCAGACUCCUACGGGAGGCAGCAGUGGGGAAUAUUGGACAAUGGGGGAAACCCUGAUCCAGCCAUGCCGCGUGUGUGAAGAAGGCCUUAUGGUUGUAAAGCACUUUAAGCGAGGAGGAGGCUACUGAGACUAAUACUCUUGGAUAGUGGACGUUACUCGCAGAAUAAGCACCGGCUAACUCUGUGCCAGCCGCCGCGGUAA